CGUGCUUGCACUGAAUGAGAAAUGAACACGAAGUGAGUGGCGGACGGGUGAGUAACACGUGGGUAACCUGCCCAGAAGCAGGGGAUAACACCUGGAAACAGAUGCUAAUACCGUAUAACAGAGAAAACCGCCUGGUUUUCUUUUAAAAGAUGGCUCUGCUAUCACUUCUGGAUGGACCCGCGGCGCAUUAGCUAGUUGGUGAGGUAACGGCUCACCAAGGCGAUGAUGCGUAGCCGACCUGAGAGGGUAAUCGGCCACAUUGGGACUGAGACACGGCCCAGACUCCUACGGGAGGCAGCAGUAGGGAAUCUUCCACAAUGGACGCAAGUCUGAUGGAGCAACGCCGCGUGAGUGAAGAAGGGUUUCGGCUCGUAAAGCUCUGUUGUUAAAGAAGAACGUGGGUGAGAGUAACUGUUCACCCAGUGACGGUAUUUAACCAGAAAGCCACGGCUAACUACGUGCCAGCAGCCGCGGUAAUACGUAGGUGGCAAGCGUUAUCCGGA
Molecule: ribosomal RNA, 503 nt
Filed under: Pediococcus acidilactici
Lineage: Bacteria; Bacillati; Bacillota; Bacilli; Lactobacillales; Lactobacillaceae
Description: bacterial SSU rRNA
Rfam family: Bacterial small subunit ribosomal RNA
Source: RNAcentral